This 797-nucleotide long non-coding RNA is filed under the name Cricetulus griseus (Chinese hamster). RNAcentral's name for it is "lncRNA (ENSCGRG00015035976.1)". The record is from RNAcentral. Lineage: Eukaryota; Metazoa; Chordata; Mammalia; Rodentia; Cricetidae.
UGUUAAUCUUUGUGUUUUUUGUUUGUUUGUUUUUGACAAGUACCCCUGCCUGUUGUGUAUGGUGUCUGAGAUUUCACUUCACCACACUUGUUGAUUAUAGGCAUGUGAAGACAGGGUACUACAUGGUGGGGGGGGUAGCAGAAACAGAUAGGAAUGACACAUCUUGGCUUCUACAAAGCUGGCGGUCUGCUUUGACAUAUCAACUUUGUGUCUCUCUUCCUCCUCCUAUCUUUUUGAGUGUUUCUGUGCAGACAGCCAUGGUAACUACUUCUCCAUGCCUGGAAAGCGUUAGCAGUCUUGUUCUUCUGGGAACACAACUCUGUACUCAUCCUCCGAACCAGAUGUGACUCAAGCCUGGGAAGACAAGUGCCAAAGAUCUGGUAUAGGUUACAUGAUGCCAGCAAAGCCAAUCAGAGGAUUUCUCAGGGACCGUUGCAUGGAUGGGAGGAGAAUAGUCCUUAAUGAGUGAAUUAUGAGAACCUAUAAUCUCUGCACUCAUUCCAGGCUGAGACAGAAGAUCCACCCCAUACCCCACCAAGGUUCAAGGACUCCACCCUGCUUGGCAAUGCUCUCCUACACCCAGACGAGGCCACUAAUGAAUGAUGGCUUGUUUCUUAGCUGCUAGAGCCUUCACAAUCUCUUGUGGUGUUCUCGCCUCCUCAGACAUGACUUCAGAGGGAAAAAAAAUGAUUUAGGAAGAGGAAAAUCAAACUCUGCCUGGGGAGGCUGCCUGCUUGCUGUACGAAAUCACUCUCUGACAAGGAAGAAAAUGCUGUUUCAUUAAAAUUCAAAUAAGG